AAUCAACGCUGGCGGCGUGCCUCAGACAUGCAAGUCGAACGAUUAAAGCUCUCUUCGGAGAGUGUAUAGAGUGGCGCACGGGUGAGUAACACGUAAGUAAUCUACCCUCGAGUGGGAUAACGUCCGGGACGGACGCUAAUACCGCAUAAUGCAGCGGCACCGCAAGUGACAGUUGUUAAAGGAGAAAUUCGCUUGAGGAGGAGCUUGCGGCAGAUUAGCUUGUUGGUAAGGUAACGGCUUACCAAGGCUACGAUCUGUAACCGGUCUUAGAGGACGGUCGGUCACACUGACACUGAAUAACGGGUCAGACUCCUACGGGAGGCAGCAGUCGGGAA
This 335-nucleotide ribosomal RNA is filed under the name uncultured bacterium. Its description in RNAcentral is "bacterial SSU rRNA". It matches the Rfam family "Bacterial small subunit ribosomal RNA", at positions 32 to 361 of the family's 1533-position model. The record is from RNAcentral.